UUUUUGAAGGUCUGCCGAUUUGUACGUGGUGUUGUUUGCCUUGCAACACCAUUUAGGCGGGAAGCCUGUUGAUCCAUGUUCGUACCUUGGUUGUGCAAGCUGCGGCCAAUGACCAAGCGUGCUUUGGACAUGGUGAUGCGGGUAUCGAGACAAGGCAUGUCGGUUUUUGAAGGUCUGCCGAUUUGUACGUGGUGUUGUCUGCCUUGCAACACCAUUUAGGCGGGAAGCCUGUUGAUCCAUGUUCGUACCUUGGUUGUGCAAGCUGCGGCCAAUGACCAAGCGUGCUUUGGACAUGGUGAUGCGGGUAUCGAGACAAGGCAUGUCGGUUUUUGAAGGUCUGCCGAUUUGUACGUGGUGUUGUCUGCCUUGCAACACCAUUUAGGCGGGAAGCCUGUUGAUCCAUGUUCGUACCUUGGUUGUGCAAGCUGCGGCCAAUGACCAAGCGUGCUUUGGACAUGGUGAUGCGGGUAUCGAGACAAGGCAUGUCGGUUUAAUCGUUGCUUUCGCAUCGUUCGGUGCAUUCUGGGGGCUGUUUUGGCUUUUGGUUGCUUGCUUGGCCUUUGUGCUUGGCGUGUGGCUACUAGUUGGGCGGUCUUCGGGAAUGUCGAUCGUAAAGGUGCAUGAGUGGUGUUUGGUUUGUUACGGGUGGUUGGAUGUCUGCUUGCGCAGCAACUUCCUCGCGUGCAUACCUCUUCAGUUGUGUGGCAAGGCUUGUUUCGUCUUGAGCAUCUUUGUGGGUUUCCUGUGUUGCAUACCUAACCGAUGGCAUUGUGUGGUUCGAUAGACGUCCCUUUUCGUCAUGUGUCGCUCGUGCGACGUGUGAUGAACCUCGAAGCGGUCUCCGUGAUCCACCUUGUCGGUGCCGUUGCAUCGACGAUGUGGCCCAUGAAGCAUUGCUUGGUCUCUUGUGUACGGAACCUGAUUUGGGCAUGGGUCUUGCUUGAUCCUACAUUUGCCCUUGUUAAGCGUUCUCGCUUCUCUAAAA
RNAcentral lists this unclassified non-coding RNA (985 nucleotides) under Cousinia esfandiarii. RNAcentral's name for it is "partial contains external transcribed spacer and 18S ribosomal RNA". The record is from RNAcentral. Lineage: Eukaryota; Viridiplantae; Streptophyta; Magnoliopsida; Asterales; Asteraceae.